RNAcentral lists this ribosomal RNA (253 nucleotides) under uncultured bacterium. RNAcentral describes it as "partial 16S ribosomal RNA". It matches the Rfam family "Bacterial small subunit ribosomal RNA", at positions 524 to 776 of the family's 1533-position model. The record is from RNAcentral.
UACGAAGGGGGCUAGCGUUGCUCGGAAUCACUGGGCGUAAAGCGCACGUAGGCGGAUUGUUAAGUCAGGGGUGAAAUCCUGGAGCUCAACUCCAGAACUGCCUUUGAUACUGACGAUCUCGAGUCCGGGAGAGGUGAGUGGAACUGCGAGUGUAGAGGUGAAAUUCGUAGAUAUUCGCAAGAACACCAGUGGCGAAGGCGACUACCUGGGCUGUUCUUGACGCUGAGGCGCGAAAGCUAGGGGAGCAAACGGG